This 223-nucleotide ribosomal RNA is filed under the name uncultured bacterium. RNAcentral describes it as "partial 16S ribosomal RNA". It matches the Rfam family "Bacterial small subunit ribosomal RNA", at positions 111 to 334 of the family's 1533-position model. The record is from RNAcentral.
UAACACGUGAGCAAUCUGCCCUUGACUCUGGGAUAACUUCGGGAAACCGGAGCUAAUACCGGAUAUGACACAUGGCCGCAUGGUUUGUGUGUGGAAAGAUUUAUUGGUCAAGGAUGAGCUCGCGGCCUAUCAGCUUGUUGGUGGGGUAAUGGCCCACCAAGGCGACGACGGGUAGCCGGCCUGAGAGGGCGACCGGCCACACUGGGACUGAGACACGGCCCAG